GUGGUGUGUAUCUAUCUUCAGGAACUAAUUUGCUCUUUUAUUUUAAUCUGUGAUGUAUUGGAACGAACCUUAGGCCGAGGCAGCAGCCAAGGAGGAAGAGGAGUCUGAGAAGUCAAUGUCCGAGGUGAACGACGAUGAGGAUGAUGAAGAGGGAAGUGCAGAGGUCAGUUGAAUAAUUCUAUAUCUUCUGUAAAUGGAAGUUGUGCAAAGUUUUAGCUGAUACCAAGUUUUGUUUCCUAUCUUUUAUAGGAGGAGGAUGAUGAGGAGUAGGAAUGGACAAGAAAGAGUAGCUUUUUAGCCAUGCAGAGAGAGCCCUGUUUACAAAAACCUCCCCUUUGGAACAUGUCUAAUUGGCUGGAUAUCUUUACUUGUUAAGUUAACCUCUUCUCGAGUUACCCUUUAUCUUCUGAAACAAGGAGGGCAACAAAUCUUCCCCCCUGUGUUAAUCCUCAGGUUGAUAGUUUGUUGUUGUAAAAGGGGGAUAUCGGAGUGUAUCUGUAAUUUCAAUCAAGGUUCUAAUGAUGAUUUCAGCUAAAUGAGCUUUCCUUUGUAGAUUCAUAUCUGUAAAGGUUGACUGUUGUUUUCGAAUGUCACUCUGCCUGUCUGGGAAAAUGGCUUGAAAAUGUCGGCUUGUCGUUUGAAGCGUUGACCUUGGAGUU
Molecule: long non-coding RNA, 659 nt
Filed under: Linum usitatissimum (flax)
Lineage: Eukaryota; Viridiplantae; Streptophyta; Magnoliopsida; Malpighiales; Linaceae
Description: long non-coding RNA (LUSI_LNC003564)
Source: RNAcentral